RNAcentral lists this ribosomal RNA (603 nucleotides) under Trichoderma harzianum. RNAcentral describes it as "eukaryotic LSU rRNA". The stretch from base 228 to 381 matches the Rfam family "5.8S ribosomal RNA". The record is from RNAcentral. Lineage: Eukaryota; Fungi; Ascomycota; Sordariomycetes; Hypocreales; Hypocreaceae.
UUGGUGACCAGCGGAGGGAUCAUUACCGAGUUUACAACUCCCAAACCCAAUGUGAACGUUACCAAACUGUUGCCUCGGCGGGAUCUCUGCCCCGGGUGCGUCGCAGCCCCGGACCAAGGCGCCCGCCGGAGGACCAACCAAAACUCUUAUUGUAUACCCCCUCGCGGGUUUUUUUUAUAAUCUGAGCCUUCUCGGCGCCUCUCGUAGGCGUUUCGAAAAUGAAUCAAAACUUUCAACAACGGAUCUCUUGGUUCUGGCAUCGAUGAAGAACGCAGCGAAAUGCGAUAAGUAAUGUGAAUUGCAGAAUUCAGUGAAUCAUCGAAUCUUUGAACGCACAUUGCGCCCGCCAGUAUUCUGGCGGGCAUGCCUGUCCGAGCGUCAUUUCAACCCUCGAACCCCUCCGGGGGGUCGGCGUUGGGGAUCGGCCCUGCCUUGGCGGUGGCCGUCUCCGAAAUACAGUGGCGGUCUCGCCGCAGCCUCUCCUGCGCAGUAGUUUGCACACUCGCAUCGGGAGCGCGGCGCGUCCACAGCCGUUAAACACCCAACUUCUGAAAUGUUGACCUCGGAUCAGGUAGGAAUACCCGCUGAACUUAAGCAUAUCAA